ACCUUGGCUAUCUUAUCUUACCUCCUAAUAAAUGAACCUCUAAUCUUAUCUUUCUGGGAAUCAGAACUCUAUGCAGUGGAGGGGAGAGAUUGUAAUUGGUCAACAGGUCAGUUGGUCAGUCAGCCAAUCAGCACUUAUUAAGCACCUGCCAUGUGUCAGGCACUGUGUUCAGCACUGGGCAUACAAAAAGAGGUAAAAGAUAGUCCCUACCUCUAAGGGGCUUACAAUCUAAUCACAGGGAACAGACAGGACAGCCUGAGGGAAAUACAGUAUGAUCUAGUUGGAAUUUAAUACCUAAAGUAACAACAACAAAAACAGUUGCUAUUUAAAAAGGAGCCCUGAGGGUUGUGGAAAGAGAUUUGACCAAGUCAGCAAUCCUAGUCCUGACUCUGUUAGGAAUUAGUUUUGUGACCUUGGUAAAUCACAAUUUCUUGAGGCCUCAGUUUCCCCAUCUGUCAAAUAAGGUCGGAUGAUUUAAUAAUAAUUGACAUUUGAAGAGUAUUUUACAUGCCUUAUCUCACCUGAUCUUCAUCACCAUCCCAUGAGUAUACCAAUAGAUACUUCAGUGAGACAAGAACUUCCUGAUGGACCAUAAAAACUGGAUCUUGUAGCAACUGGGGUCUUUCUAUCCCAAGCAAAUAUCCAAGCCAGUUUCUAGAUGCACUGCAGAGUGGGUCACAGGAGAAAGCACAAGGAUUUAUCUAUCAGAUCUGUGCGAGACUUGUUUUUCUUCAUAUACUUAGAUCAAAGUAACCUAACACAACAAACUGAAUGUAGAAGUACAUAGGAGAAUCAAUCCCUUAUCUUUUAUUGUCAGACAUUAAAGAGAAUGCCAACCCCUUGAGGGCAAAAAUUGACUUCAUUUCUGACUUUAUCCUUAGCAUCUAGUUCUGUGGCUGCACC
Molecule: long non-coding RNA, 903 nt
Filed under: Monodelphis domestica (gray short-tailed opossum)
Lineage: Eukaryota; Metazoa; Chordata; Mammalia; Didelphimorphia; Didelphidae
Description: lncRNA (ENSMODG00000048806.1)
Source: RNAcentral